GCAUAUCAAUAAGCGGAGGAAAAGAAACUAACAAGGAUUCCCUUAGUAACGGCGAGUGAAGAGGGAAGAGCUCAAAUUUUAAAUCUAUCAUGUUGUACAUGAUCGAGUUGUAAUUUGAAGAAGCGUUUUCUCGUACUUUAUGCAAUCAGUAUAAGUUCUCUUGGAACAGGACAUCAUAGAGGGUGAUAAUCCCGUCUGUUACUGGUUGUGAGGUUCGUUAUGAUACGCUUUCAAAGAGUCGAGUUGUUUGGGAUUGCAGCUCCAAAUGGGUGGUAAACAUCACCUAAGGCUAAAUAUUUGCGAGAGACCGAUAGCGAACAAGUACCGUGAGGGAAAGAUGAAAAGAACUUUGAAAAGAGAGUUAAAAAGUAUGUGAAAUUGUUGAAAGGGAAACGAUUGAAGUCAGUCGUGCAGUCAUCAAUUCAGCGGUUAACAUUUUAUGUUUCCGUGUAACUUGGUGUCUGUUGGUUAGCAUCAAUUUUGAUUGUUAUAAAAAGGUUAAGGGGAUGUGGCUCCUUCGGGAGUGUUAUAACCCUUAGCGUAAUGUGACGAUUAGGAUUGAGGUUUGCAACGAAUACCUUUUAGGGCAGUUUCACCUGGCCUCUCGUGGAAUUAUAGAUAGUUAAGAGCAUGCUCUUACUGUUUAUGAUUCUACGAAAAGGUUGGAGUGUAAAACUAAUUCGUUAAGGAUGUUGACGUA
This 700-nucleotide ribosomal RNA is filed under the name uncultured Glomerales. RNAcentral describes it as "LSU rRNA". It matches the Rfam family "Eukaryotic large subunit ribosomal RNA", at positions 38 to 633 of the family's 3401-position model. The record is from RNAcentral. Lineage: Eukaryota; Fungi; Glomeromycota; Glomeromycetes; Glomerales; Glomeraceae.